AUGGACUUCUGUGGCAUAAAGGUAGUUCAUACUACCACUGUGCCAUGAGAAGCAUGUCAGAUGCUUUGAAUUGCCCAGCAACUGAAGAACUGCCCCAUUAUAGCCAAAGAACCCUUUUUUUUUUGUUUUGUACAUGUGAUCCACCUCUCAGAAAACUCUUGCCCUUUUGUAGUUCCAAUAUUUGGAAUUAAACUAUCAAUAACUCAGCAUCUCGAGGCACGAAGAGAAAAGACAGUUUAGGGGUUAAGAAAACUGUCUAUGUGGGGUCAGAAACAGCAGGAGGAAGCCCAUCUGAGGAGCAGAGCUCUGGGGAUGGUUUUGCCUUGCACUGUGUGCGCAAGCAUUUAAUCCACUCUGUUGACACAAACUGCCGCUUGGGAGAUCAUUCACUGAUUAGCAGUUACGUGAGUUUGUAUACCCAAGCUGAAAUUUUUCAGAAGUGCUUAAUGGCUAUGCACUACUUAAUAUUUAACACAUGUUCUUCCUCCCCUUGCAGGUUAGUUGCAUUUGGGCUGAUGGGACAAGCUGCCUGCUCCCAGUCUAAUGCCUGGCUGCACAGUGGACAAGCGUCAUGAAGGCCAGCAGCAUGGAGACAGGUUGCAUCUACCUGCUGUUCUCACUGAAGAAGGAAGCUUGCACUAUCCUCUGGACAAUGUGUACACUGAGGCAAUGCUGACACCCUCAGCUAGGUCCUUGGUUGGCUCUGGGACAGCAAACCUUCCUGAAGAAUCUAGAAGCCACAAGUAGCACUGGGGAUUCAGUAACAGGUAUUCCUAGUCUGCCAUGAGCUUACUCUUUGGAUGAGUACUGAUUUGUGCAUCCCAGAUCAGCUUUAGAGAGAGACAACUUUUUCCUGAAGUUAUAACUCUGAUAGCUGACAAUCAUCCAGGUUUCCCUAUUGUUUUCUGGGAAAAGAGCCUCAGUGUCCCCAUCAAGGUACAAGUGAGGUGUUAACCUCAUAGAAUCCUGAAGAUUGUCACAAAAGCAUCAGUGUUUUUAGGAACCCCCCUCAAAUCGUUGUCUGAUUAUUCAUGCAUGGGAAACGGGAUAUAACUCACAUGACCACUACAGCAAACACAAACCAAUGCAUAAAUCAUUCUGUAGCUAAGACAGAAGACUAACACAAAGUGUUUUAUCAGAUGACAUAGUUGUUCUGGGCUUACAGAUGGUGCUCAAAUGCUAUUAAGAUUCCAAGAAACCCAAAGAGAAAAUCUGAUGAAGAUGAAGCUUUGAUGAUCAGCAGAAAACAAAAUCUUGUAGGGGGCUUUAUACUAGGUCAUCAAUUUCCAAGGGGGAGUCAUGAAGACUGAUUCUCCAGAGACAGAAAUACAGAGCUGGAGACCUCAUUUGGGGAUUUUUCAUUUUCCUAUCUGUAAAUAUAAUGGAGUAGAGAGCUGCAAUGCCAAUUAAUUUAAAGUUAGGAAGGAAAUUGCCAUUCAUGUGUAGCAGAACUAGAGAAAACUCAUCCAGGGACUAGUACCAGGAAGCCAGAGAAUGGACUUGUAGCUCUCUUCAGUGAAGUUGCCUAUGUUUUUCUAUCUUUCAAAAUAUCCAAAAAUCAUAAAAACAGCUGACACCUAAAUUUUCCUUUUUCAGGGUAUAUGACAUAUGGAAGGGAUAUGUUUGCGUAUACAAUCCAUGGAUAACCCAAAGCCCAAAAGGUACUGAAACAUUCCUUAGAGGGGUUUUGGCUGGAAGCCGAUAUGGCAUUUUUAUGGUAGGUUUUAUCUCCUGAGACUUUAAAAAACUUGCUGCAUUCCCUCAAGAGUAACUCCUUCCCUAGAAGCUGUGGCAAGGUCUCUGGAAUAAACCACACCAAAGAAACA
RNAcentral lists this long non-coding RNA (1826 nucleotides) under Cyanistes caeruleus (blue tit). Its description in RNAcentral is "lncRNA (ENSCCEG00000003172.1)". The record is from RNAcentral. Lineage: Eukaryota; Metazoa; Chordata; Aves; Passeriformes; Paridae.